Long non-coding RNA from Solanum tuberosum (potato), 1120 nucleotides. RefSeq lists it as uncharacterized. NCBI's taxonomy places the organism in Eukaryota, Viridiplantae, Streptophyta, Magnoliopsida, Solanales, Solanaceae. The transcript is spliced from 4 exons. The record is from RefSeq and is a predicted model, not a curated record.
UUCGUACAUGCCUCUGAAUUAAACACCUAUUUUCUGAUUUAAGAAUUGUAAAAGCACUAAUUAGGUCUUGGAUGUUUCCAGCAGAUAGGAAACACAGGAGGUAAUGUAUCUGCUCCUUUGAGCAAUUCCUUCAUCCAAUGUGAGAAUGAAUACAUAUAGAUUGUGCUGGAUGUUGUCGAUCAAUUCCAGCUAGGAAGUAACACGAGAACUGCAGCAUGAACCAGCUAGACUACCUAUCAGAUAAAAAUCUCAAUUGUAUCUGUGCAUUUUGAAUUUUGAUGAGAAGAUUUGUACUCCCAUGAGGCGUGAGCAAUUAAACUUCACCGCUUUGUGCCAGUGGCCUGAUGCUUCUUCAAGUGCUGAAAUCCUCUUAACAAGUUCUACUUUCUGCAAAAUUUGAUGUCUUUUUGAGUUUCAAACAUGCUUAAGAGCUUCUGCUAUGUACUUAAAAUGAUUGUUAUGUGAUAUUCAUUCUUUUGGAAUUUGAUGUUUUCCUUCAUGUAAGUAAGAUGAUAUUUGUGUGAUAUUUAUUCUUUCAAGUUUGAUAUUUAUAUUGGAUAUUCCUCAGCCUUAAAAUGUUUCAGGUCAAAAAGGAAGAGAAGAAUGUUACAAGAACAGUACUUAACAGUAUAGUGGGAACGUUGGACCUGUCCAUCCGCAAAUUUGUACAAAGGGAGAGAUACCCAGGGGAAAUCAAAAGGUUAUCAGUUGUCAUGGCACAUCAAGAACCCUUUGAUUCACAUAAAUAUGUUAUAUGCAUACAUUGCAAAUGUUUGUGUUGCAAAGUUUGCUCGUCGUCAGGGUAUUGCUUCAAAUAUAAUACAUUUGGCUGCUAAUAUGGCCGCAUUAGAAGGUUUCAAGCAACUAUUUGUUCAUGUAAAUGCAGACAACAUACCUGGCCAGGAAUUAUAACAAAAACACAGCUUUAAGAUCGUGGAAGCCGGCUCAUCGUCUCUAUCAAAAGAACAGAGGAUACUGAUGUCGUUGGAUUUAUAAUUUCCCUUAGCUACUUCACUUCCAGACUAAAGAGGAUGUGUUGGUUUGUACAUUUACAUGGUUUGAAGCCAAUAUCUUAUUGGUUGAUGUAUGUAUUAUUGGGUAGACAGACAACUAGUUAGUU